UCCCGUGUGGCUCAGUUGGUAGAGCAUGGUGUUUGCAACACCAGGGUUGAGGGUUCGAUUCCCACAGGGGAC
Non-coding RNA from Salmo salar (Atlantic salmon), 72 nucleotides. The record is from Rfam. NCBI's taxonomy places the organism in Eukaryota, Metazoa, Chordata, Actinopteri, Salmoniformes, Salmonidae.